GCUUGCUUCCUGAUUGAUAACAUUUGAGUGAGUGGCGGACGGGUGAGUAACACGUGGGUAACCUGCCCUAAAGUGGGGGAUAACAUUUGGAAACAGAUGCUAAUACCGCAUAAAACCUAACACCGCAUGGUGUAGGGUUGAAAGAUGGUUUCGGCUAUCACUUUAGGAUGGACCCGCGGUGCAUUAGUUAGUUGGUGAGGUAAAGGCUCACCAAGACCGUGAUGCAUAGCCGACCUGAGAGGGUAAUCGGCCACACUGGGACUGAGACACGGCCCAGACUCCUACGGGAGGCAGCAGUAGGGAAUCUUCCACAAUGGACGAAAGUCUGAUGGAGCAACGCCGCGUGAGUGAAGAAGGUUUUCGGAUCGUAAAACUCUGUUGUUGGAGAAGAAUGUAUCUGAUAGUAACUGAUCAGGUAGUGACGGUAUCCAACCAGAAAGCCACGGCUAAAUACGUGCCAGCAGCCGCGGUAAUACGUAUGUUCCAAGCGUUAUCCGGAUUUAUUGGGCGUAAAGCGAGCGCAGACGGUUAUUUAAGUCUGAAGUGAAAGCCCUCGGCUCAACCGAGGAAUUGCUUUGGAAACUGGAUAACUUGAGUGCAGUAGAGGAAAGUGGAACUCCAUGUGUAGCGGUGAAAUGCGUA
This 642-nucleotide ribosomal RNA is filed under the name uncultured Lactobacillus sp. RNAcentral's name for it is "bacterial SSU rRNA". It matches the Rfam family "Bacterial small subunit ribosomal RNA", at positions 62 to 692 of the family's 1533-position model. The record is from RNAcentral. Lineage: Bacteria; Bacillati; Bacillota; Bacilli; Lactobacillales; Lactobacillaceae.